CUAUAGACCAGAGCCCUAUUCCCUAUAUAGAACACUACUAUAGACCAGAGCCCUAUUCCCUAUAUAGAACACUACUAUAGACCAGAGCCCUAUUCCCUAUAUAGAACACUACUAUAGACCAGAGUCCUAUUCCCUAUAUAGAACACUACUAUAGACCAGAGCCCUAUUCCCUAUAUAGAACACUACUUUAGACCAGAGCCCUAUUCCCUAUAUAGUGCACUACUAUAGACCAGAGCCCUAUUCCUUAUAUAGUGCACUAAUUUUGACCAGAGGCCUAUUCCCUAUAUAGAACACUACUGUUGACCAGGGCCCUAUUCCCUAUAUAGUGCACUAAUUUUGACCAGAUCCCUAUUCCCUAUAUAGUGCACUAAUUUUGAUCAGAGACCUAUUCCCUAUAUAGAACACUACUGUUGAUCAGGGCCCUAUUCCCUAUAUAGUACACUACUGUUGAUCAGGGCCCUAUUCCCUAUAUAGUACACUACUGUUGACCAGGGCCCUAUUCCCUAUAUAGUACACUAAUUUUGAUCAGAGGCCUGUGAGGAAUAGGGGGCCAAUUGGGACGCAGACUGUAUGUGAAACUGAUCAGUUUUUAAAUGUUUCUGCGGUUCUUAUUGGUUGUCUGAUUCUCUGACCAUGUCUGUGGUUGUUAUGGUUACCGUCUGAUCCAGUUCAUACAGACUGUUUUGGUUGUUGUUUCUUUGUUCUGUUUAUCUCUCUCUCUUUUUGUGGUUUAACUGUCUGUGGUCAGGUUCUGGCCAAUCAGAUGGGUCCGUGGUCAGGUUCUGGCCAAUCAGAUGGGUCAGGUUCUGGCCAAUCAGAUGGGUCAGGUUCUGGCCAAUCAGAUGGGUCAGGUUCUGGCCAAUCAGAUGGGUCAGGUUCUGGCCAAUCAGAUGGGUCAGGUUCUGGCCAAUCAGAUGGGUCAGGUUCUGGCCAAUCAGAUGGGUCCGUGGUCAGGUUCUGGCCAAUCAGAUGGGUCUGUGGUGGUGGUGGUGUUGUGACUACUGCUGUCUAACUCCUCCUGGAGGACCCCUGGUGUUUCUGAUAGUUUAACUUCCGUCCAGCCCGGGAUUCAAUCAAAGGCGCAUUGUGGAUUAUGAGCAAACCAAACUAGACUGUUCAAUCAAAUGUUCAGCUGACAUCCGCAGCGUUUACCAUGACAACCAGAGGAAUGAGCUGGUUAACGGUGCGACGUGGUCAGUGCACCUUUAGGUUGAAUCCCAGCCGUCUCAUUCAGACCUGGGACACCAAAUCAUGUAUCAAUUACAUGUCCCAAAAUGGCACCCUAUUCCCUAUAUAGUCCCCUACCUUUGACCAGAGGCCCACGGGGUAGCGGGAGGCCCACGGGGUAGCGGGAGGCCCACGGGGUAGCGGGAGGCCCACGGGGGAACGGGGGGUUAACGGGAGGCCCACGAGGUAACGGGGGAUAACGGGAGGCCCACGAGGUAACGGGGGAUAACGGGAGGCCCACGAGGUAACGGGGGGGGAUAACGGGAGGCCCACGGGGUAACGGGGGGGGGAUAACGGGAGGCCCACGGGGUAACGGGAGGCCCACGGGGUAGCGGGAGGCCCACGGGGUAGCGGGGGGGCUAACGGGAGGCCCACGGGGUAGCGGGAGGCCCACAGGGGAGGCAGUGUCUGUCAGCCCUCCAGGUCUAGUUUGACCUCACAGGGGAACAGGAGGCCACAGGGGAGGCAGUGUCUGUCAGCCCUCCAGGUCUAGUUUGACCUCACAGGGGAACAGGAGGCCACAGGGGAGGCAGUGUCUGUCAGCCCUCCAGGUCUAGUUUGACCUCACAGGGGAAUAGGAGGCCCACGGGGGAAUAGGGGGCCACAGGGGAACAGGACAGUGUCUGUCAGCCCUCCAGGUCUAGUUUGACCUCACAGAGGAACAGGAGGCCACAGGGGAACAGGACAGUGUCUCCAGGUCUAGUUUGACCUCACAUCUCCCUGGUUAAAUGGAACUGGGGGGGGAACAGGACAGUGUCUGUCAGCCCUCCAGGUCUCGUUUGACCUCACAUCUCCCUGGUUAAAUGGAACUGGACUCGUCACUCGCUGCUUCUCAAUGUUUUAUGGAGUGUCUGUAUGUUAUUAUUUGAUCACAUUUUAAAACUACUUAUGUGUUGACCUCUAAAUACCCUGUGAACUAUUUUGAUUGAGAAUAAAUACAAAUAAUAAAUAGAUUUAUGUCAAA
Long non-coding RNA from Oncorhynchus tshawytscha (Chinook salmon), 2191 nucleotides. The record is from Ensembl. Lineage: Eukaryota; Metazoa; Chordata; Actinopteri; Salmoniformes; Salmonidae.